AAGACCUUAAGUUAACUAAACUAAAGGCCUUCAAAGCCUUAAAUGAAAAUUAAAUUCAGGUCUUG
RNAcentral lists this transfer RNA (65 nucleotides) under Nereis zonata. RNAcentral describes it as "tRNA-Trp". The record is from RNAcentral. Lineage: Eukaryota; Metazoa; Annelida; Polychaeta; Phyllodocida; Nereididae.